Molecule: ribosomal RNA, 563 nt
Filed under: Pantoea sp.
Lineage: Bacteria; Pseudomonadati; Pseudomonadota; Gammaproteobacteria; Enterobacterales; Erwiniaceae
Description: bacterial SSU rRNA
Rfam family: Bacterial small subunit ribosomal RNA
Source: RNAcentral
AGUGGCGGACGGGUGAGUAAUGUCUGGGAAACUGCCCGGUGGAGGGGGAUAACUACUGGAAACGGUAGCUAAUACCGCAUAACGUCUUCGGACCAAAGUGGGGGAUCUUCGGACCUCACGCCACCGGAUGUGCCCAGAUGGGAUUAGCUAGUAGGUGGGGUAACGGCUCACCUAGGCGACGAUCCCUAGCUGGUCUGAGAGGAUGACCAGCCACACUGGAACUGAGACACGGUCCAGACUCCUACGGGAGGCAGCAGUGGGGAAUAUUGCACAAUGGGCGCAAGCCUGAUGCAGCCAUGCCGCGUGUAUGAAGAAGGCCUUCGGGUUGUAAAGUACUUUCAGCGGGGAGGAAGGCGGUGAGGUUAAUAACCUUGCCGAUUGACGUUACCCGCAGAAGAAGCACCGGCUAACUCCGUGCCAGCAGCCGCGGUAAUACGGAGGGUGCAAGCGUUAAUCGGAAUUACUGGGCGUAAAGCGCACGCAGGCGGUCUGUUAAGUCAGAUGUGAAAUCCCCGGGCUUAACCUGGGAACUGCAUUUGAAACUGGCAGGCUUGAGUCUCGUA